UCGACUUCCCCUGGGGGUA
Molecule: small nuclear RNA, 19 nt
Filed under: Arabidopsis thaliana (thale cress)
Lineage: Eukaryota; Viridiplantae; Streptophyta; Magnoliopsida; Brassicales; Brassicaceae
Description: snRNA_03926
Source: RNAcentral